AUGUGCACUAGGAAGCAAGCUGGUGGGAUGGGGUUUCGUGACUUUGAAGUGUUUAACCAAGCUCUCCUAGCUAAGCAGGUUUGGAGGAUUCUGAUGACCCCCACAUCCUUGUGUGCGAGAGUGUUGAAGGCACGGUAUUUCUAGGUUAUGGAUACCAUGGCUGCACCAUGCCCACGGAGUUGUUCAUAUACGUGGAGAAGUCUGAUGCAUGGAAGGGGUCUUCUAGCUCACGGUCUUAUUUGGUGA
Molecule: ribosomal RNA, 246 nt
Filed under: Triticum aestivum (bread wheat)
Lineage: Eukaryota; Viridiplantae; Streptophyta; Magnoliopsida; Poales; Poaceae
Description: partial small subunit ribosomal RNA
Source: RNAcentral